This is a long non-coding RNA of Triticum dicoccoides, 689 nucleotides long. RefSeq lists it as uncharacterized. Lineage: Eukaryota; Viridiplantae; Streptophyta; Magnoliopsida; Poales; Poaceae. The transcript has 3 exons. The record is from RefSeq and is a predicted model, not a curated record.
CCUAACGGAGGCACCCAGUCUACAGGGGGCCGAAAAGCAUGGCGCGGCGGCGGUGUCGCCUCUCCUCCGAUCCCGACCUCGCGUGGCAACGCCUUCCGCCGCUUAUCAGCCCGCCCAGUGCGUUGCCACCUCUCCAUUGACCCCUGGUGGUGCGAGCAGGAUGAACAGAGAGUUGAAGCUAUCUAAGUAUACCCAAGGGAUGUGAAAUUUACAUCAAAUGGUUCGAGAGCUGGCACCUCCCCCACGCAUGCUCAUUGCAGCAUGGGAAGGCCAUGCGCGACGGCAUUGCUGCUGGGGAAAUCAGUGACGAGGGUGGCUGGGAAAAACAAAAUCAUGGUGUGGAACUGAAUUUAUUCUAGGUUAGGUCAAUGAGGGUUUAUAACUUGGUACAAAGUUUCGCGAGGACUCAGCUUCUUGGGAUGCAGAAAGGAAAGUUAAGUUGAUAUGUCUUAAUUAAUGAAAAACAUGUCAAGAGGAACACGUGUUCUUAUAUAGGUACUAUUUGGGAGAUGGUCAGGUACUGUAGGUUGUAUAGUUUAUAUAUUUGGGUGAUGGUUCUAUCAUGCGUAGUUAAAACUUGCCUAUUGACAAACCAUCACCUACUGCAAAUGACGCAUGGGUGUUGCAGAUCAUGCAUCAUGGGUAUUUGCUUCUAAUAUGACGAUUCAAUCAUUCUACUUUUGGUCCAA